AAGCUUUACUGUAGCUUGGUAUUGUGCCCGGGCUCGCAAUGCGCAGGAUAGGUGGGAGGCUUUGAUCAUCGGCUUGCGGGUCGAUGAGAGCCAACGGUGAGAUACCACUCUUUGCGAGCUAGGGUUCUAACGGUCACCCGUUAUCCGGGGACCGGACAGUAUCAGGUGGGCAGUUUGACUGGGGCGGUCGCCUCCUAAAAGGUAACGGAGGCGCGCAAAGGUUCCCUCGGUCCCGUUGGAAAUGGGACGAUAGAGUGCAAAAGCAGAAGGGAGCUUGACUGUGAGACCCACAAGUCGAACAGGGACGAAAGUCGGCUUUAGUGAUCCGACGGCACCGCGUGGAAGGGCCGUCGCUCAACGGAUAAAAGUUACUCUAGGGA
This 380-nucleotide ribosomal RNA is filed under the name uncultured Synechococcus sp. RNAcentral describes it as "partial 23S ribosomal RNA". It matches the Rfam family "Bacterial large subunit ribosomal RNA", at positions 2096 to 2474 of the family's 2925-position model. The record is from RNAcentral. Lineage: Bacteria; Bacillati; Cyanobacteriota; Cyanophyceae; Synechococcales; Synechococcaceae.